This 309-nucleotide long non-coding RNA is filed under the name Cavia porcellus (domestic guinea pig). RNAcentral describes it as "lncRNA (ENSCPOG00000036374.1)". The record is from RNAcentral. Lineage: Eukaryota; Metazoa; Chordata; Mammalia; Rodentia; Caviidae.
ACAGUGAAGUGUACAGAACUCAUAUGUCACCACAGUUGGCGGAGGGAAACCUGGACAGAGGGCAUCUGGCUCUCAGGAGGGACCUAGAUUUUGUGGAGACGCUUCUGGGUUCUCAUUCACUUCUAGGAAUCAGGAGUUUCCUCCUGGCAUGUGCUGGCUUCAGGCACAGCCAGUAUGGCUGUGUCAUCCAUGGGAGGGAUUUUGGAAGUCCCGAGGAGACUGGUGUCAAGAAACAUGACUGACAGUCAAAAACCAGCAAAGAUCCAGGUGACCCUCAAGCCUCCCUCUCCUUCAAAGUGUCCAUGUCAC